Long non-coding RNA from Gorilla gorilla gorilla (western lowland gorilla), 611 nucleotides. RefSeq lists it as uncharacterized. The transcript is spliced from 5 exons. The record is from RefSeq and is a predicted model, not a curated record. Lineage: Eukaryota; Metazoa; Chordata; Mammalia; Primates; Hominidae.
GCCCCCAUUCCUGGAUUUAAACAGCCAUCUUCUUAUGGCUGUAUCCUACUACUGCAACUUUGCCAUCUUCUGCUAGCCAUGUGACUCCUGGAAUGUCCUUAGUCCUCUCCUCACCUCUCCCACCACUGUUGUGCUCAUUCCUGUCUCUAGGCUAGCUCCUAAAUAUAGCUACCAUACUGAAACUGGACCAAGUAGAAAGCAUCAUUUCUGUUUCAUGUAACAAAUAUGCUAGGUUCUGAAAAGAAACAUCGGACAUUUAUUUGAAGCCAAGACAAAGAGAUUUUCAGAUACCUAUAAAUGAAGUCAGUAAGCUGAAAGUAUCAGUAAGCUGAAACUUAGCAGCAGGCUUCAAAGAGACUCUCCAAAAACAACAACACCGCAGAGGCUUUUGAAGUCCCUAAAAUCUUAUAGGAUGCUGUUUUUAUUGACUUUCAUAUUACAUGAGAGUGGAGGCUGGGAAUGGAACUGUUGCAAAAUACAGAAUUGAAGAAGUCUUCCCAGAUUUUUCUUUUCUAAUUUCUGCAAGAGAGAUCAUGGGAAGAAAAAGUUACAAGGAAUAAGAGAGAAAAAAAAUGCAAGUCUCUUCAUGUGUUUUGUAUACUGAGGCUUAA